This 165-nucleotide ribosomal RNA is filed under the name Gnetum leyboldii var. woodsonianum. Its description in RNAcentral is "5.8S ribosomal RNA". It matches the Rfam family "5.8S ribosomal RNA". Rfam says of the family: 5.8S ribosomal RNA (5.8S rRNA) is a component of the large subunit of the eukaryotic ribosome. RNAcentral also lists the same sequence under 1 other name. The record is from RNAcentral. Lineage: Eukaryota; Viridiplantae; Streptophyta; Gnetopsida; Gnetales; Gnetaceae.
GACUACGACUCUCGACAAUGGAUAUCUCGGCUCUCGCUUCGAUGAAGAACGUAGCGAAAUGCGAUACCUUGUGUGAAUUGCAGAAUCCCGUGAAUCAUCGAAUCUUUGAACGCAAGUUGCGCCCGAGGCCUAGGCUGAGGGCACGUCUGCCUGGGUGUCGUGAAA